AACGAACGCUGGCGGCAGGCUUAACACAUGCAAGUCGAACGCCCCGCAAGGGGAGUGGCAGACGGGUGAGUAACGCGUGGGAAUCUACCCAUCCCUACGGAAUAACGCAUGGAAACGUGUGCUAAUACCGUAUACGCCCUACGGGGGAAAGAUUUAUCGGGUAUGGAUGAGCCCGCGUUGGAUUAGCUAGUUGGUGGGGUAAAGGCCUACCAAGGCGACGAUCCAUAGCUGGUCUGAGAGGAUGAUCAGCCACAUUGGGACUGAGACACGGCCCAAACUCCUACGGGAGGCAGCAGUGGGGAAUAUUGGACAAUGGGCGCAAGCCUGAUCCAGCCAUGCCGCGUGAGUGAUGAAGGCCUUAGGGUUGUACAGCUCUCUCACCGGAGAAGAUAAUGACGGUAUCCGGAGAAGAAGCCCCGGCUAACUUCGUG
This 431-nucleotide ribosomal RNA is filed under the name uncultured bacterium. RNAcentral describes it as "partial 16S ribosomal RNA". It matches the Rfam family "Bacterial small subunit ribosomal RNA", at positions 29 to 507 of the family's 1533-position model. The record is from RNAcentral.